RNAcentral lists this unclassified non-coding RNA (180 nucleotides) under Oryza sativa (Asian cultivated rice). RNAcentral describes it as "partial microRNA MIR446y precursor". The record is from RNAcentral. Lineage: Eukaryota; Viridiplantae; Streptophyta; Magnoliopsida; Poales; Poaceae.
GUUAAAAAAAAUUAAUCGCACAGAUUGCAAUUACUUUGCGAGACGAAUCUUUUAAUCCUAAUUACUCCAUGAUUUGACAAUGUGGUGCUACAGUAAACAUGCGCUAAUGACGGAUUAAUUAGGCUUAAUAAAUUUAUCUCGCAGUUUAAUGACGGAUACUGUAAUUAUUUUUUUUGUUAG